This 253-nucleotide ribosomal RNA is filed under the name uncultured bacterium. Its description in RNAcentral is "partial 16S ribosomal RNA". It matches the Rfam family "Bacterial small subunit ribosomal RNA", at positions 524 to 776 of the family's 1533-position model. The record is from RNAcentral.
UACAGAGGUCCCAAGCGUUGUUCGGAUUCAUUGGGCGUAAAGGGUGCGUAGGCGGCGCGGUAAGUCGGGUGUGAAAUCUCGGAGCUUAACUCCGAAACUGCAUUCGAUACUGCCGUGCUUGAGGACUGGAGAGGAGACUGGAAUUUACGGUGUAGCGGUGAAAUGCGCAGAUAUCAGGAGGAACACCGGUGGCGAAGGCGGUUCUCUGGGCAUGAUCUGACGCUGAUGAGCGAAAGUGUGGGGAGCGAACAGG